AGCGAGCGCUGGCGGCAGGCUUAACACAUGCAAGUCGAGCGGGCACUUCGGUGUCAGCGGCAGACGGGUGAGUAACACGUGGGAACGUACCCUUCGGUUCGGAAUAACGCUGGGAAACUAGCGCUAAUACCGGAUACGCCCUUUUGGGGAAAGGUUUACUGCCGAAGGAUCGGCCCGCGUCUGAUUAGCUAGUUGGUGGGGUAAUGGCCUACCAAGGCGACGAUCAGUAGCUGGUCUGAGAGGAUGAUCAGCCACACUGGGACUGAGACACGGCCCAGACUCCUACGGGAGGCAGCAGUGGGGAAUAUUGGACAAUGGGCGCAAGCCUGAUCCAGCCAUGCCGCGUGAGUGAUGAAGGCCUUAGGGUUGUAAAGCUCUUUUGUCCGGGACGAUAAUGACGGUACCGGAAGAAUAAGCCCCGGCUAACUUCGUG
Molecule: ribosomal RNA, 433 nt
Filed under: uncultured bacterium
Lineage: Bacteria
Description: partial 16S ribosomal RNA
Rfam family: Bacterial small subunit ribosomal RNA
Source: RNAcentral